UUCAUUCCCAAACUAGACACUGAACCCCCAGUGGAACUGUGAAGAUAUUGCACGUGUUCUCAGCGAUCAGAGCAGAAGAGAUCCAACAGUGGGGUGAGGUGAGGCAGCAAAGAAAAUAGCUGCUGUGUGCACUGCUGCAUAAACUGCUGCAAGGACUCCCCGGAAGAAGCCUGAGGUUACUCCCCCUGCUGCAUGUGUGGCUCCGUCCUCUGUCUUCCAGAGGCGCUGAGGCCAAGAGGGCCUGUGGUAGUCUGGUUUAUACAUCAACAAAAAAGGGAGAAAUGAAAGGGAGAAUGGAAAUUAAUGUUUUAGGUGUUUACUAUGUACCACAUACUAGUAGUAACAGCAGGAUUUAAUGUCCAAAAGCCAUUUUCUGACCUCAAAGCCCAUUUUUACCCCUCUACCACACCAAUUCCCUGGAAUUUACUAAUAGAUCUGACAAUUAUUGAAUUGUACUAGCUCUGUAAUUUUUGGGCAAAUCUCUCUAAGCUUCAGUUUGCUCAACUGUAAAAUGGGAGUAAUGAUAAUGAUUAUCUCACAGGGCUUGUAGAUUAAAUAAUUUAAUUUGCUGAGCAUCGUGCCUAACAAAUAGGAAGUCAGCCAAUCUUUCUACGACACUGGCAGGGUAAGGUAUGUCACAUUUUACAUUUGUCUAAAUGAAAUUAAAUCUUGAGUUAACAUCUACAUGACAAGGUUAACUAUGUUUCCAAUAUCAGUAAAAUUUGAGGCAUCACUCUUCUAUCGUAUGGAAAGAAGUUCCAGAGUUUGUUCAGUUAAAAAACAAAAAAGCUAAAGGGCACAGUCUUCUAUUUCUGUUGGCCAUGAUGCCAUGGCUCCUCGUAUUAUACAAUGCCCUGGCACAGCUGAGGCUGCAGGAAGGCCAUGUUCUCAGCCUCAGCCAUGGGAAUGUCACUGGAGUGCACAAGACCAAGGUUCCAAGUUUACAGCCCACACAGUCACUCAAGUAAUUGUCCCCAUCAGAGUUCCUGCCAGCUCAGGGCUUCUAUGAGCCAGAGGGACCCAAGUGUUGGAGGAGAUCAUCGAGAGGACAUGACUGCUGGUUGACCCACGAGUUGGACCCAGGUAAUCUGAUGCUUCUUGCCCCUUCCCCUGUCCUUGGAA
Molecule: long non-coding RNA, 1122 nt
Organism: Diceros bicornis minor
Lineage: Eukaryota; Metazoa; Chordata; Mammalia; Perissodactyla; Rhinocerotidae
Exons: 3
Source: RefSeq, a predicted model, not a curated record